CGCGGAUCAGAAUGCCGCGGUGAAUACGUUCCCGGGUCUUGUACACACCGCCCGUCACACCAUGGGAGUCGGAAAUGCCCGAAGUCUGUGACCCAACCGUAAGGAGGGAGCAGCCGAAGGCAGGUCGGAUGACUGGGGUGAAGUCGUAACAAGGUAUC
RNAcentral lists this ribosomal RNA (158 nucleotides) under uncultured bacterium. Its description in RNAcentral is "partial 16S ribosomal RNA". It matches the Rfam family "Bacterial small subunit ribosomal RNA", at positions 1343 to 1500 of the family's 1533-position model. The record is from RNAcentral.